GGUUAUGCCAUAGGGACCAGAUGUUGAAAAGAGCUUAUCUUACUAAACCACCGGGCGGGGGGGGGGGGGCGCCGCAAACCAAAAGUAUGUAUGGUCUCUGAAGUGAUGGAAAAUUACUGUGAGUUGGAUUUUUUUUUUUUAAAUGCUAUAUAAACCCUUGGCUUUGAGUGCUCGGGGUCCUUGUAGAAGCUUGCUGCGUUGGGCAGAUACUCGGACUCCAGCUAGCUGGAAAUAAACCUCGAUGUGUGACUUGCAUUAUCGAACCGUGGAAGGAGGAUUGCCCACCUCAGUCUGGAGAAAAAUUUCUCACCUGGAGGGACUGAAGGUCCAUCUGGAUCUGGUAAAGAAUUCUCAUCUGGGUGGGUGAAAGGGUUGCGACCCUGGAGGUUCCAUUACUGGAAGUCGCGGGAGACGUCCCCAACGAAAGGGUGCCAGAACGACGUCCACAGUGAACGCCGUUUUGAUGGCUAGACUGUGUUCUUUGGAAUGAAGUCAUUAUGCACAGCCCACAUGCAAGGAUUGGAGAGUUAUAAUGCACCUCCUUGGUGUAUGCACUGCCAAGUUUUCUGAAGAGACUGAGAUUUUACCCUAUGUGAUGGCUAUUGAGCUGGCCUAUUAUGGUUUCAUGAAAGCUGGCAGAAGACACGAGAUUUCUGGUCGAAAACAGGACUUUACUCAUGGCACACCAAGAAACUUGAGCUUCUUGUAUCAGUUCUCCAUGUCCCCAAAGUCCCAGAGACAUGAAGCAGGUGGGCCUAGACAGAUGCCUACCCACAAGGUCGUGGGUUAUGUUACAGAAACCUGAACGGGAAUAAUCAGAGUCACUACGGUACUGAGCAUUUAUGUUCUAUGGCUACAACCGCUGUGACCUCAGACGUGUUAACCAGAAUGAAGCAAGACUGUUCACACGUGGUUUCUUCCUCAAGGGCUCAAAGAAUGCUGAUAUUCUCAGGUAUGUAAAUGGACCCCAGAAAACUCCUAAGAAGGACAGUCCCAGGAAGGAAUACUAUUCUUGGAGUCUCUCUAUCCACACGUUCCUAGAAGCCAGUGUCGGGAUAAUUCAUGAUCUAAAAUUCCCGUCCUAAUAGCUGGUCUCAGUAUGUUUUCCCGCCAGCAGUCACUUCUCUGUAGUAGUCACACGUGGCUGACAGGAAGGUGGAGGAAGCGGCAGCGAACCCAGAGCCAGCGGUCCCAGGGCCACUCACCAUAGAGCUACCACAACCCAAGCUCAGAUGAACGACACGCACCUUACGCCUCCGUCACAGGAAAGCAACCACGCACCUAUCCUAGUCUUAACCACUGCACCCUAGCUCCGCCUCCCACAAAUACGCACCCUUUCCGUCCUUCUCACAGGGGCACAAGCACUCUCCUCUGCGGCUCGAGCACCCACAGGCCUGAAGGGACCGCCACUCGCCGUCCACGCGGACUCCACGCUGCGUCCGCACAGCCUUUUCCGCGGCGGCACACAAGGAUGUCUGCCUCAUACUGGGGCCACUCACGCGCGGCGCCCAACAAAGGACACGCUGAGAGAGCCCGAGGUCCCAGUCACGACGCGCACCGUGGAACACGGAGCGUAGGGUCGUAAAAGUCCUGUAAAGUAAAGCCUCAGGCCCCGCGCGAGAAACUGGGAGACUUCUGGGAGUGGCCGCUCGGCCUGGCCGUGCGCAAGCGCACAGGACAGACCUGCUGGAGGCCAACUCCUGAGGCGAAGGGUUGAUGUCCGGGUUGUGCUUGCUUGAAGAAGGCGAGUCCGGCUGAUACCCGACCAGGGAGCUCUGAGAAGGGCACUGCGGAGCUUUUCUCUUCCAAGGCCUCAGGCGUGUGUGUGAGGGUCCGCCCUGUUGUGAGGGUCAGUGAUGUGGCCCCGAGGACCAUGGUGUGCUUGCCAGGCUGUGAGCAUCUGAAUGUGGGAUGCUGAGUUUGUUGUGUCCCCUGAAAUAAAGACAGCCUGUUCAGUAAUGUAUGUAAAUAUCAACUUUUAUACUCAGGGAAAGGUCUAGAGUGUCCAAUGAAGUGUUAAGGAAAUGAUUAUAAAGUGUUAAGGAAAUGGUUGCUUUCCUGUGACGUGACAUUCUUCAUUCCAUUGCAUUCUUCAUCCUUAGAAACAUUAAAGAUGGACUGAAUUAAUUAGAAAUGGCAAAAAAAAAAAAACCUGAAGAAAUAUCUUGUAAAUAUUUUUAUUAUUUUGGUUUAGGCUACAGGUUUUCUAAACAUAAGCAAGGCGAGGAAUCCAGAGAGAAUUUUCACAUAAUCGUUAUUUGUAAAUCUUUAUGGUUAUUUAUAAAUACCCCAAAUAUUUGAAUAGUAUAAGUAAAUAAAGCAAAACCAAAAACAACAUCAUGAAUUUGGGGGAAAUAUUUAUAACAUUAAAUGGACAAACAAGUAUUAAUUUAAUGUCUGUCACUUAAAAUAUUGGUCAAUACCCUGAAGAGAAAAAGGAGCAGAGACUAAAAAAUUAAUCAUUCACAAAUACCAAUAAAGUAGUCAAAAAACAUAGUGGAGCCACAACCUAAGACUUCUUGAUUAUGAAGGGGUGGAAAAGUAAUCACUUCUGAGCAGCUGGUUGAGACCCCUGUAAUAAAAGACAAGAUUAACAGCAGAAAAACAGCUUAUCGAGAUGGGCAGCAGGUAUCACCUAGGAGAAAUCUAAAACAAAAACGGCUCAAAUAGGUGGCUUAGAAUUCCAGAUUAUAUACCAUCGUCAACAAAGCAUACGUUUAUAGAAAAUGACAGGACAAAAGAAAGCAGUUUUAGGCUUCUAAGAGCAGCAAACUGUGGGAAGGUAAGUAUCAAGAGGAAACAAAUGGAGUAGGGUUUGUUUGCAGAUUCCUCUGAUGCCCUCUCUGGGGUGAGUAGAGUCUGUCUCCUGCAAAAUAAUUUUUUUGCCUUUAGGCAGAAAAUGGGGAGUUCUUUCUGGGUUUGCAUCUCCUUUUUUUUUUUUUAAGAUUUUAUUUACUUAUUUGGUAGAGGUCACAAGUAGUCGGAGAGGUGGGCAGAGAGAGAGGGGGAAGCAGGUUCCCUGCUGAGCAGAGAGCCCGUUGUAGGGCUCGAUCCCAGGACCCUGAGACUUUGACCUGAGCUGAAGGCAAAGGCUUUAACCCACUGAGCCACCCAGGCACCCCUGGGUUUAUAUCUUCUUAAUUGCCUUCAGCUCAGAGUAACUUUUAUGUCAAGGAGGCAUAUUUAGAGGUGACAUAUUCUGGUUUCCUUCAGUCACUUCUCUCUUUCAUUAAAUCAGUUCUUAGAUGAAUUGCUCAUGAAUCUCCUGAAUAAUCCUAUACACCUACCAUUUCUAAAACUGUCCUUAGCAGGCUCUUUCUCCUCAUUUUCUUUAUAUAUUUUUUCAUAGGCUACCACGUUCUUUUUAUUAGCAUCAUUGGUCUCUUCCUUAUAUAUAUGAAAAAUAUCAUGAAUUACUUACUAAGUUUUCCCUGAAAUUCUUGCUGGUCCUCAAUAACCCCUCAACUAGGCAAUAGGCCAGGAGGCAUUUCUGUCCUCUUGGUCAGGUACAGAAGAAAGAAACAAAAAUCAAAACUCUUCAAUUUCACAAUUGAGGUCUAGCUGAUCGCCUACAAAUAUUAUGCUCCCCUUAAGAACAUUUAAGUUUAUUUGACUUUCUGGAAGUUCUUAAUGGGGAGCAAGAGAGGAAGAUCCUAAAGCAUCACAGACAAGGUUCUUGCCCACACAUGCUGUUCUGAGUGCCUAGAUCCAAAUGAAAAAUUAAAGAUUUAUAAGGUUAUUUAUUUUUAAAACUAUUUUAUUUAUUUGAUGGAGAGAGAGCGAGUGAGCAUGCAAGCAUGCACAAGCAGGAGGAGCAGCAGGGAGAGGGUGAGAGCGAAGCAGGCUUCCUGUUGAGCAGGGAGCCCAAUGCAUCCCCUUUAAUCGAAGUUUUAAAAAGUGUUAUAAUUGGGGUGCCUGGGUGGCUCAGUCGGUUAAGCCGCUGCCUUUGGCUUGGGUCAUAAUCUCGGGGUCCUGGGAUCGAGUCCUGCAUCGGGCUUUCUGCUCAGCGGGAAGCCUGCUUCCCUCUCUCUCUCUCUCUGCCUGCCCCUCUGUCUACUGUGAUCUGUGUCUGUCAAAUAAACAAAUAAAAUCUUAAAAAAAAAAUAAAAGUGUUAUAAUUGACCUUAAAAAUUCUGGAAUGUGUAACUCUUUCUUAAGGAUGGGCCACACAGAUUGACUUGCUUCUGAAAAGAAAGAUCUCAAUAAAAGUAGGGCAAACUAAAAAUAAAGAAAGCAGAGGUGCCUGACUGGCUGGGUAGUUAGAGUGUGACUCUUAAUCUGAGGGUGGUGAGUUAGAGCCACACGUUAGGUAUAGAGAUUAGUUUAAAAAAAAAACAAAAGGCAGAAAGAAGGAAAUAACAAAGAUUAAGGCAGAAAAUAAUUCAACAGAAAAUAGAAAACAAAAUAAAAACCAAUAAAAUAUUUAUGAUAAAACGUGCAAACUAUUCCUACUAUAUAACCUGUAUAUAUCUUAUCAUUUACUGUGUGAACUGCUAAUAUAAUGUCUAAUUUGUUCAAUUAAAAAUAAAAGGGGGGCACCUGGGUGAGCUCAGAUGGUUAAGAUUCUGCCUUUGGCUCAGGUCAUGAUCUUAGGGUCCUGGGAUCCAGCCCCAAGUCAGGCUCUUUGCUCAGUGGGGAGUCUGUUUCUCCCUCUCCUUCUGCCUCUCGCCUCUGCUCAUAUUUUAUCUCUCUAUCUUAAAUUAAUGAAUGAAAAUCUUAGGGAAAAAUCCCUUAAAAAUUAAAGGAAAAAGUAUCAAGGAACUACAUCAUAGCAACUUUUAAGGGAGGGUUGAAGUGGAAGCAUUUUUAAAAAAUUCAUUCAUUUGUUUUUGAGAUCUGCUUAAUGUAGACACUCAAGGCCUGGGCAGAGUGGGGGAGUGGCCAGGAACUGGACAGGCAGGCAAGGUGGGUGGUCACAUGCCCAUACCUGGCCCCAGGUAUGGUGGGGGUGGGCCCAGGCACCCCAAGGGGAGUACCAGAAGGGUGGCCCAGGCAGAUAGACCUACUAGGGGACCUGUAGGCCAGGCCUUGAGAAGGUAUCUAAGUCAGGUGCUGAGUACUCAUGGCCAAAGCCUAGCCCAGGGUGGAAGGAUUGGGUCCUGGUUGUGAGCUAGAGGAGCCUAGGGUCCUCCCUGAGCUGGACUCAAGACAUGAUCUGCUGAUUGGACUCAGGCAGCUCCUAGAGACAGAUGUGGAGGUAGAGGUUUUCUUCCAGGUGGUCCAGACAUGAGCUGAUCUGGUCCAACACAAAGCUGAUGGCAGCAUCUUCUGCUUCCCUAAAGCCAUUAUCCUCGUCUUUCCCUCUCACCUGCACAGGCUUGCCCAGAUCCAGGUUGGAGUGACAUCUGGCUGGGGAGCCAAAAGGGCCUUACAAUCAUUGAUGGGGUACAUGUUCCAUCAACAGCUACCACCUGGCAGUAGGUGGAGAUGCCAGAUUGAAAUUGAAGCUCCUUUUUUUAGAGAGAGAGAAUGCACAUGUGGGUAUGGGGUAGGGGGAGCGCAGAGAGUAAGGGAGAGAGAAUAUUUAUUUAUUUGAUAGAGAUCACAAGUAGGCAGAGAGGACAGGCAGAGAGAGAGAGAGGGACAAGCAGGCUCCCCGCUGAGCAGAGAGCCCGAUGUGAGGCUCGAUCCCAGGACCCCAAGAUCAUGACC
Molecule: long non-coding RNA, 5652 nt
Filed under: Mustela putorius furo (domestic ferret)
Lineage: Eukaryota; Metazoa; Chordata; Mammalia; Carnivora; Mustelidae
Description: lncRNA (ENSMPUG00000030243.1)
Source: RNAcentral